RNAcentral lists this ribosomal RNA (439 nucleotides) under Aggregatibacter aphrophilus. RNAcentral describes it as "bacterial SSU rRNA". It matches the Rfam family "Bacterial small subunit ribosomal RNA", at positions 45 to 473 of the family's 1533-position model. Lineage: Bacteria; Pseudomonadati; Pseudomonadota; Gammaproteobacteria; Pasteurellales; Pasteurellaceae. The record is from RNAcentral.
GGCUUAACACAUGCAAGUCGAACGGUAGCAGGUAAGUACUUGUACUUAUGCUGACGAGUGGCGGACGGGUGAGUAAUGCUUGGGGAUCUGGCUUAUGGAGGGGGAUAACGACGGGAAACUGUCGCUAAUACCGCGUAGAAUCGAGAGAUGAAAGUGUGGGACCUUCGGGCCACAUGCCAUAGGAUGAACCCAAGUGGGAUUAGGUAGUUGGURGGGUAAUGGCCUACCAAGCCGACGAUCUCUAGCUGGUCUGAGAGGAUGACCAGCCACACCGGGACUGAGACACGGCCCGGACUCCUACGGGAGGCAGCAGUGGGGAAUAUUGCGCAAUGGGGGCAACCCUGACGCAGCCAUGCCGCGUGAAUGAAGAAGGCCUUCGGGUUGUAAAGUUCUUUCGGUGACGAGGAAGGUUGUUGUGUGAAUAGCACAACAAAUUGAC